UGAGACCGGCGCACGGGUGCGUAACGCGUAUGCAAUCUGCCUUAUACAGGGGAAUAGCCCAGAGAAAUUUGGAUUAAUGCCCCAUGGUGUUAUAGAAUCGCAUGGUUUUAUAGCUAAAGUUCCAACGGUAUAAGAUGAGCAUGCGUCCCAUUAGUUAGUUGGUAAGGUAACGGCUUACCAAGACGAUGAUGGGUAGGGGUCCUGAGAGGGAGAUCCCCUACACUGGUACUGAGACACGGACCAGACUCCUACGGGAGGCAGCAGUGAGGAAUAUUGGUCAAUGGGCGCAAGCCUGAACCAGCCAUGCCGCGUGCAGGAAGAAGCAUCUAUGGUGUGUAAACUGCUUUUAUACAGGAAGAAACAACGCUACGUGUAGCGUCUUGACGGUACUGUAAGAAUAAGGAUCGGCUAACUCCGUGCCAGCAGCCGCGGUAAUACGGAGGAUCCAAGCGCUAUCCGGAAUCAUUGGGUUUAAAGGGUCCGUAGGCGGUUUAAUAAGUCAGUGGUGAAAUCUGGUCGCUCAACGAUCAA
Molecule: ribosomal RNA, 531 nt
Filed under: uncultured Flavobacterium sp.
Lineage: Bacteria; Pseudomonadati; Bacteroidota; Flavobacteriia; Flavobacteriales; Flavobacteriaceae
Description: bacterial SSU rRNA
Rfam family: Bacterial small subunit ribosomal RNA
Source: RNAcentral